UGGUGGCUGACCUACGGCCAAGAAGGAGCCACUCGGACCUGAGCCUGGAUGGCUCCGGUGCUGUGCCAGGAGCCUUCAGCAUGCGGCAGGCAGACUCUGCUCCUUGUGCCUCCUGAUGCUCAGACUUGUUCUGGAGACCCCGGCUCUGAGCCCAUGUAUUUAAGAGCCAGCUCCAGAGACUCCGGGCUCCCCCAAGUCCAAACUCAGCUCUGUGAUCCAGGCCCUGCUGGGGGCAGCCUGCAGGGGGGCAGAGGGAGGAGGUGGUGGUGCCCUGGUUUCUGUACACUCUGCCAC
RNAcentral lists this long non-coding RNA (294 nucleotides) under Heterocephalus glaber (naked mole-rat). RNAcentral's name for it is "lncRNA (ENSHGLG00100042520.1)". Lineage: Eukaryota; Metazoa; Chordata; Mammalia; Rodentia; Bathyergidae. The record is from RNAcentral.